AACGAGGUAGUUCAAAAUUGGUUAGAACAUUAGAAUCAUAAUCUAAUAGUUGUAGGUUCAAAUCCUAUUCUCGUUA
RNAcentral lists this transfer RNA (76 nucleotides) under Vertebrata lanosa. RNAcentral describes it as "tRNA-Met". It matches the Rfam family "tRNA". From Rfam's summary of the family: Transfer RNA (tRNA) molecules are approximately 80 nucleotides in length. The record is from RNAcentral. Lineage: Eukaryota; Rhodophyta; Florideophyceae; Ceramiales; Rhodomelaceae.